UCCACUGUUGCGUUUUUCAUACGUACGUAUACGCACGUAAAACUUUAAAUCCGUUUAAAUGUUACUUAUGAAAUAACCAAAUAAAUAAAGCAACAGACUUUAGUGUUCCGCAAGUUUUAGUAUGCAUUUGUUAACUUAUUUGUAAAAUAUUUAAAAAUAGAAGGAUUCAAAGUUUUACGUGCGUGUACGUGCGUACGAAAAACGCAACAGUGGA
RNAcentral lists this microRNA precursor (214 nucleotides) under Paramuricea clavata. Lineage: Eukaryota; Metazoa; Cnidaria; Anthozoa; Malacalcyonacea; Plexauridae. The record is from RNAcentral.